This is a long non-coding RNA of Tympanuchus pallidicinctus (lesser prairie-chicken), 1040 nucleotides long. RefSeq lists it as uncharacterized. The record is from RefSeq and is a predicted model, not a curated record. The transcript is spliced from 5 exons. Lineage: Eukaryota; Metazoa; Chordata; Aves; Galliformes; Phasianidae.
UUGAUUUUGUUGUUCAUUUUGCUGAUUUCUUUGUACCAAGUUUUUGAAAGCUAUUUGCUGCAGAAAGAAAGAAAAAGCAAUCACUGAAUGAAGACAUCAAUGUUUCCAGGAACUGGAACUUUACAGCUCUUCUCUGCCAACUCUCAGUGCCUCCAGUAACAUUCUAUCAGCAGGUGCUGUUUGUGACAUCAACCCCUCUCUACCAUUUUGCCAUAUUGGACCAUGCAGGAAAAUAUGUGGUUUUAAGAAACAUUAUUUGAGGGAUUGGAAGUCCGUGUACUCACCCACUUUGAGGCACUUCCACUCUUUGUUUGGACUAUUCACCUGAGACUCGAUGGAAAUAAUGACAUUUCAGAAGCAAAGAGAGUCAGCGCUAAAUAAUGCGUUGUCCAAUGCUUACUGAAGGAAGACAACAGCACACAGUUUGACUGAAUUUGAAAGAAAAAGAUGAUGACUUUGGAUGUUGUCUGAGUCCACUGUCAGACAGCUGGUAACAUACAGCGUUUGGGAACUGUCAUAGCACAUUACUUCAUGUUGCUACCCUGUUAUUCCAAAGCAGUCUCACAGCAGAUACACACCAACUAAAAAGCUGACUGUGUUAAUGAAGAGAGCUGAACUAAAAUGAUGGCUCUGAAGAUGCUGUGAAAGCCUGCAUGUGUCAGGCUGUGCAAUUCAGAACCUUCAGUCUGAGUAAUCCCACCUCCAGCAUCUUCCUAGCAGCAACAGCAGCAAUCCCUGUCCAUGGUGCUUACUGAGUGAAUGAAAAAGCUGUCUGAGGAGAUAAACAGCCAGCAAGAAAACCAACCUUAACAACUGCACACCUGUUUCCACUGGCACACAGGAACAGACAUUUCCAUACAGCAAAGUUAAAACAAACAGCGAAGCAACUAGUGUGUGUAACUCUGUGUUCACAUGCUUAAGACAUAAGCACUUCAUAUGCUAAGGACUGUAUUCUUUUUAACUGUGGAAGAGCUAGAAGCUGUGAGCUAACAUAUAGCAAAAAUAGCAUAAAUAAAGGAAGAAAAAAAAAUCAUAACAGA